CUAAAAACCCUCUCUAUAUAACCAAAAUUAGACCUAUACCACCCUAGACUCUAAGACCCUAGGACCUAAAAGCUAGACAAUCCGCCGUUUCUGAGGGGGGAUAUACACAAGACCCUUGAAUAUUCUCCUUCUUUUAUCAACAAAAAUAAAAAAACGCCGAAGAGACCUAGAGUUAGACUUUGUCAGGCAGCCGUUCUUCAUCAUUUUUUGGAGAAACGACUCUGCACAAAAAUGAAGAAACCAUGAGGACCCUUCUUCUUCUUUCUUGAUAAACUAAAACAAAAACCUAGAACCCUAGCCUAAAAAACUAGCCGUCUACUGUUACUGCUGUGACCCCAGCCCGCCACCAAUGACCUUGAGUCGCUGCUUCUCGUUUCACCACUCUCCGCUGCCAAGAAACAAACACACACAUACAGGACAGAACCAGAUCUGACCGGAAACGUAUAGCUCCGGCGACCUUUCAGGUUUGACCCUCUCAAAUUGCAGGUUUCUUCGAAAAAUAGAACCUUGAUCGAGUAUUCUGUUGAGGCUCUAUGCUCGACGUCGUCGCCGGUUUGAGAUUUCCGUCGUCGUCUCCGGGUGACGAGUCUGUUCGUUUUCAAUCUCAUAUAAGUGUUCUUCUUGUAAAUCAGUUGGAAGAUUUUUGAUGUUCUAGAAGUUAUAAAAGAAAUCUCAAAGCAUCAAAGGAAAAUUUGACUGAAUGUAUACUGUGAAUGCCUCUUAAAACAAAAUGAGAAGUCAAAUACGUUUACAAAGUUUUCUUCAUAGCCUUCUUCAUGGGAUCAGGUACUGUCUUAAACGAGGUCAAGCAAAAAUAUUUUUUAUUUAAAUAAUUACAAAAAGUUAUUUCGUUUGUUGCACUCCUGUGUUAUACAUGAUUUUGCAUUCAGAUCAAAUGUUCCUUUGCUGAAGUAAACUAAUUCAAUUAUGAUUAUUGUCAUUAUUAUUAUUUUUUUAUGCCUCAUUUAGUUUUAGUUGUUUACAGGUUUGAGUUUGAACGCUAGUUUAAAGGAAUGUGCGAUUUCAUUUUUAUUUGUUUUCGUUCGUUCAUUGUUUUAUGUGCGCUCCAGUAGGUCGGGUCAUCGGGGUUGGGCUUUAGUGUGAUGUGAUGAAUGUGUCCUAUUUGAUUAUUAUUAGUUUAAUAUAUCAAGGUAGCAAGGUAGUUAUUAAAAUGAAUAUUCGUAGAAAGGCCUUUAGGCGCGUUUAAAAUACCAUCGUGAUUAUGUAUACGUUCGCAUAACAUAAUUACGAUUCUAAAAACUAAUUUGGAGUAUGUGUUCGCAUAACUUCGAUCAAAUUCUUCUUGAUAAUAAAUUGGUUUUAAUAGGCCGCUAAAUUAAUUUAGGUUUAUAUAGUCCGAGGUGUACCAUCCACAAUUUAAUUAUUCAUGCCCCUCAUAUUAAUAACCUAGAUAUAAAGAUGAUAAAUGUUCGUAGUUUACUUUAGGCACGUUAAUAUACCAUCGUGAUUACGUACACGUUCGCAUGACAUGAUUACGAUUUUAAGAACAAAACCGGAGUAUGCGUUCGCGCAACUUCGGCCGAACUUUCUUAAUAAUAAUAAAGUGUUACUAAUUGUGGACACGUUUGCGCGACAUGAUUUUUGACGCGCCAAACAAAUGGGUACACGUGCGCGUGAUCCCUUUCAAGAUAAUUUCUUAAUUAAAAGAGGCAAAUGCACAUAGGUUCUAAAAUCAGUAACCAAUUAAUUUGUUUACGCCAAGUAUGAUCAAAGCGACCGUGUUAGAACCACGGAACUCAGGAAUGCCUAGCACCUUCUUCCGGAUUAACAAAAUUCCUUAUUCGGAUUUCUGUGUUCGAAGACAUAAACAGAGUCAACUUUCUCGAUUUAGGAUUUUAAACCGGUGACUUGAGACACCAUAAAUUAUCCCAAGUGGCGACUCUGAUCUUUAAUAAAUAAUCCUGUUUCGAUUAUCACUUAAAUUGGAAAAAAACUCUCUUAUACCCUUUCGGGGGUAGUAAAAAGGAGGUGUGACAAAUAGUAUGGUUGAACUCGUAAUUGAAUGGAUUGACAGACGUUAUGAGUUUUGUCAGGUUCCGAGGUGCGGGCUCGGUUGGACUUUUUGAUCGAUUUUGGGCUUUUGAUUAAAGAUUCGAUCUUUCAAUUGGAAUUGGUUCCUUUAGCAUUGUUUGAUGUAUUUGAGUUGUUUUUGAUUAGUUUCGAGUCGUUCACGGGUCAGAACGCGCGUUAUGGCAUUCUUGGAACUUCGCUUGGCUUGCUUGGUGUCAGAAUUGGCUUGUAUAAGAUAAGUAACUCUUCUAAACUUAUUGCUGAGAGUAUGAAACCCCGAAUUAUGUGUUAUGUGAUUGAUGUUGAGGUGACGCACAUGCUAAGUGACGGGCGUGUGAGCGUGCACCUUGUAAGUUGUGACUCUGUUGUUUCCAAGGCACUGUUUAGUGGCCCAAUUUGUUGAUAUUUGUGUUUUUCACCAUGUGAUAAAGUAACUGAGCUGUACAUCAUGCUAGAUAUCAUGUUUAAGUUUUAUGCUGAUGUUGUUGGGACCCCAAGCGACCGUUUCUUGCUAUCAUCUUAUUGAAUUCAUUGAUAUUUCGUACUCAGUCACAUUCAUGCAUUCAUAUCAUAUCUUAGUUGUUACUUAUUGAUAUAUCAUAUCAUUGUUCCGGGUCAGUUUUCAUGACAAUGUGAGCUCAUGGGUGAGACUGGAGAGAUUGAUGACUGAGUGAGGCCGAGAGCCUGAUUAUGAGAGAGAGUUAUGGGAUUGGGCUGCACGCCGCAGCAUGUUUUAUUGAUUAUUGAGUAAGGCUAAACUGAAAUGAGGAUGCAGACUCGUGGAGAAGUUCAGCUUUGGUUUGAACCCAAGAGUUUGAAUACUUCUCUCCGUCAGACUUAAACUGAGGGUUUGGAAAAUUUUCUUCCCUUUAGGCGAAUAAAAAGUUCGAUACCCUUGUUCCAAUUAUUCCUUUGAUUGGAUCAUUAGCUAAAGCAAACUUUUGUACCGUAUUAGGAAUGAACCAUUUCUUUUAUUUUUGUGGAAAGAGAUUAUGUUCAAGUAAGCAAAUAUGUCAUGGUUCUAGGGGCCUGAUUGAUUUAUAUCAUGAUUGGCUUGUUAUAGUGAUUCGGCUGAAGGAGCCCCUCCAGAGUCUGCCUACUACCAGUGAGCGCAGUUGAUUAUAUUCAAGGAUGGAUCUUCCCUUGGUACGAAGAUGGAUCUUCUCCAUGAGGCUGGAUUAGCAUGUUUCCUCGGUACUGGGUGACUUAUAAUCAGUGAUGUAUAUAUUCCGAGAUGGAUCUUCCCAAGGCCGUAUGAGCCAUAUACAGUACCGAGUGGUUGAUUAUGAUGAGUGGAAGGUGUGAUACAGUAAGGCUGAGUACUCUAAGAGUGUGCGUACGUGAUUCAUUUCUGAGGUACAUGACAUUAACAUGUAUAUAUGACAUACAUGCAUAGAGACGCAUUUUUCUCAUGAUGUACGGUAUCACAUCAUUCAUGACUUUUUACACAUAUUGAUAUGUGGGCAUAUAGUGGUAUUUCACACUUAUUACUUGGAAAGGAAAUGAAAGAUUUUUAUCGUGGAAAGGAUUUUUAUCGAUAAAGAUUUCGAUAAAGGAUUUGGGCUUUUACUGAUAUCCUUGAAAAGAGGAACUAUUUUCAGAAAACUAUGCAAAAGUUGAACAUUUUUUUUAUCUCUAAGAUUGUUUCCUUUGUUUAUAUGCUCUACGUUGUAUGAACUGUUGUUGGUUAUUGGUGUUGGACCCGACCAAUGUUCCAGCUCGUCACUGCUUUCAACUUGAGGUUAGGUUUAUUACUUUUUGAGUACAUGGUAUCGGUUGUACUCAUACUGCACUUCUUUCACAUUGCGUGCAGAUCCCGGAUGCCGAUGUUGCUGCGUUCGAUGGUUGCUGGAUUCGAAGGCGUACUUGCGUUCCUGCUGUAGCUGCCUCUUGUUUACGAUAGCCUUAGAUCAUAAAAAUUCUGUUUAUGUACUUUUCAAACAGAAGACGUAUUUUCUUCAUAUCAACUUUUUAAACUCUAUUCUUAGAAACUCAUAAUUUGUACUUCCAGACCCGGUCCUUGGGAUAGAUCCAGAUAAUUCAUAUUGGUUAAUUGACAUUAGAAAUAUUUAAAUUAGAUAGUUAUCAGUUGGCUUACCUAGCCGGUUGAGAUUACGUGUAAUCAUGACGAGUGGAUUUUGGAUCGUGACAAAUAUGAAUAGAAAAUAAAAAUCCUGAAAAAUG
This 4215-nucleotide long non-coding RNA is filed under the name Nicotiana tabacum (common tobacco). RNAcentral's name for it is "long non-coding RNA (NTAB_LNC008437)". The record is from RNAcentral. Lineage: Eukaryota; Viridiplantae; Streptophyta; Magnoliopsida; Solanales; Solanaceae.